Molecule: long non-coding RNA, 2585 nt
Organism: Ictalurus furcatus (blue catfish)
Lineage: Eukaryota; Metazoa; Chordata; Actinopteri; Siluriformes; Ictaluridae
Exons: 4
Source: RefSeq, a predicted model, not a curated record
GUGUGUGUGCGUGCGUGCAUGUAGCUAUGUGUUUAUAUGAAAGUAUGUGUGUGUGUCUGUGUGUGUGAAUGUAGCUGUGUUUAUAUGAAAGUGUGUGUGUGUGUGUGUGUGUGUGCGUGCAUGUAGCUAUGUGUUUAUAUGAAAGUGUGUGUGCGUGUGUGUGUGUGUUUGUGUGUGUGUAUUUUGGGAAUUGGGCGGGUGUAUGUACGAAGCCUCGCAUCAGAAGCAGCAGCAGCACGUGAGAGUCGCGCGCGAGAGAAAGGGAAAACGGAGCCUGAUGUGGCGUCAUCACUGCCUAGCGACUCGUUGCUUAGCGACGGGGAAACAGCUGUUCCGGUGAGGGCCAAUCAGGAGGCUGCGAGAGGCGCGUGCCCUCGCUUUGCGUUGGAAAACUGGAAGAUUUGGGGGACAUUUGUUUAAAAGGGAAAAAGUGUUGUUUAAAAGGGAUCGCCACACACACACACACACACACACACGAGCGCGCGCGCGGGGGCGCGCAGACAGGACCAGGACCAGACACAUGAACGAGGUAUUAAAGCGUGUACAUCCGGGACAUUUGAGUAAUGACGCCCCACUGAGCCGGCGGAGUGUUCGAGCGGAGCUGUGCGGAUCUGCGGCUUUUUCUCCAGCGCCUCUAUAAACAACGCACUCGGAGGGCGUGUGUGUGUGUUAGAUACAGGAGCGAUGCUCAGGUGAACACGGCCGUCGUUAGAAAGUAGUCAGGAUCUUCCCAGCGAGUGUGCCCUUAUCGAUCAACGACGUCGAAAGUCGCCUACUUUAAGAGGAAGUAUGCGGAAGAGGAGGAUGUCCAGGGAAGCCUAUGUGGAUAUUUACAAAAACACCUGAUCUUACGCGAGGAGCGCAGCUGCAUUUUGCGCCUGUCGCUACAGAAGCUGCGUUUCCUGGACGACCCCGAGGCCUUCCUGCGCCGUGCCGUUCUCAUCAACAACCUGCUGCGCAAGAUCCACUCGGACGACGGGCAGAGGGACCGAGACGGACCGAGGAAUGGAGAGAACGAGGAGGAAGAAGAAGAGGAAAGGCUUUUUUACUUGGACAGGAAGAGACUGAAGGUCGUGGUGAGCCCUGAACACGGACAUCCCAUCUUCCUUUAUCCACUUAACAACUGCUAAAAUCCCACUGUACUUAAGCGCUGGUGUUUAAACCUAGCAGAGAUGACGGCGUAGGUUGGAGGUGAAGGUGUGUGUCUGUGCAAUGUGUGUGUGUGUGUGUGUGUGUAAAACUGUGUGUCAGCAUCAAACACUUGGAAGCUGGGAUUAUUGCAGUGUCAGAUGGAUUAUAAGAAGCAUCUUUGAACAUCAGGGUUUGCUUUUUUUAACACACGAAAAGAAAGAUUGAGCCUAACUGCCUCUCUAAAUAAACUUUCAUUUUGCCUUUUUUUUUUUUUUUUUUUUUUUUUUUUUGCUAAUCAUUUUUUCAGGGAUUAAAAAAAAAAAAGCCAUGCACUUUGUAUCUCUGUAAGUAAAUGUAAAGUGUAAAGUUUGUUGCCUGAAUAUUGUUCUGCUAUAUGAGCCACCUUUUCCAAACAAAGCAUCUAAUAUAAUAUAUUCUAAUAUAAUAUAUAAUGUGAUAUAAUAAGAUAUAUAAAAUACAAUGUGAGGACUGUAUGACAUGAUUGAGGGAGGGUAAAUUCUAUCGUUUGCUAACGGAACAGGAAAUGACUCAUAGUGCUCUACUGCCCCCUAGUGUUCACUUGUGUGAUUGUUCAUGCAACAUUUUAUUUAUUUAUUUUUUUUGGUGUGUGCUGUUUUUCCACAUUCUGUGCAAAGUUCUCUCCAGAUUUCAGAUAAAAUCUUUCUUUAACGCAAAAGGAGGAACUUAUUUUUAAGUAUUUAAGAUAUUCAUUUAAGAUAUUUAAGAUAUUCUUGCCAGAGGCUAUAGCUUUUGCUGAGCUAAAAGUUGGAUAAGUUUGGAAAGCAUUUCCCCCGGGCAAGUUCCAGAUGUUCUUAUGCUGUCUGUUUUGUUUUGUUUUGUACUUACAGUUUAAUUGCACUCUUGCUACAGACUUUAAUUAUUCAGCCUUAACAUACUUACAUAUCAAAAUCAUUCUUAAACAGUGAGGUUUAUUCAUUCACUCCUGUUUCAGUUUACAACACAACCGCAGACUAAUUGCAAAAAAAAAAAAAAGAUCUCUAGUCUGAUUUUCCUAUAAAUAUAUUUAAUGUAAAACAACAACAAACAAAGCAGUGGUGCAGACUUGGUUAAUAUUUUGCUGUGUGUGUAUAUAUUUUUGCAUAAAUAUAUUUUAUGCCAUGCAAUGUCAACUGUUAGCUUUUAAUACUUGAAAUGUGUUUUUGUAUACAUGUACAUGUGUAAGGUGAUGCUAAAGUUGAUUUGUUUAAGUAUUUAAUGUGUAAAACUGCAUAUCGAAGUGCUAUCUUUUGGACAUUUCAUAUAUUAUAAAAUAAUAUAUUGGUUUUUAUAAAUAAACAUAAAGAAAAGAUAUAUAUGCUAUAUUCUACAAAAAUAUUAACCACAUUUUUUUGCAAAAGACUAAAGUAGCGUUUUAAAAAAAAAAUCCGUAUAUUUUUCAGGUAUUUCAAACAAAUAAAAUCUACAAUUAAAAA